GACGAACGCUGGCGGCGUGCUUAACACAUGCAAGUCGAACGGAAAGGCCCUGCUUUUGUGGGGUGCUCGAGUGGCGAACGGGUGAGUAACACGUGAGUAACCUGCCCUUGACUUUGGGAUAACUUCAGGAAACUGGGGCUAAUACCGGAUAGGAGCUCCUGCUGCAUGGUGGGGGUUGGAAAGUUUCGGCGGUUGGGGAUGGACUCGCGGCUUAUCAGCUUGUUGGUGGGGUAGUGGCUUACCAAGGCUUUGACGGGUAGCCGGCCUGAGAGGGUGACCGGCCACAUUGGGACUGAGAUACGGCCCAGACGCCUACGGGAGGCAGCAGUGGGGAAUAUGGCACAAUGGGCGGAAGUCUGAUGCAGCAACGCCGCGUGCGGGAUGACGGGCUUCGGGUUGUAAACCGCUUUCGCCUGUGACGAAGCGUGAGUGACGGUAAUGGGUAAAGAAGCACCGGCUAACUACGUG
Molecule: ribosomal RNA, 468 nt
Filed under: uncultured bacterium
Lineage: Bacteria
Description: partial 16S ribosomal RNA
Rfam family: Bacterial small subunit ribosomal RNA
Source: RNAcentral